This 346-nucleotide ribosomal RNA is filed under the name Lactobacillus intestinalis. RNAcentral's name for it is "bacterial SSU rRNA". It matches the Rfam family "Bacterial small subunit ribosomal RNA", at positions 350 to 687 of the family's 1533-position model. Lineage: Bacteria; Bacillati; Bacillota; Bacilli; Lactobacillales; Lactobacillaceae. The record is from RNAcentral.
AGCAGUAGGGAAUCUUCCACAAUGGGCGAAAGCCUGAUGGAGCAACGCCGCGUGAGUGAAGAAGGUUUUUCGGAUCGUAAAGCUCUGUUGUUGGUGAAGAAGGAUAGAGGUAGUAACUGGCCCCUAUUUGACGGUAAUCAACCAGAAAGUCACGGCUAACUACGCGCCAGCAGCCGCGGUAAUACGUAGGUGGCAAGCGUUGUCCGGAUUUAUUGGGCGUAAAGCGAGCGCAGGCGGAAAGAUAAGUCUGAUGUGAAAGCCCCCGGCUUAACCGAGGAAUUGCAUCGGAAACUGUGUUUCUUGAGUGCAGAAGAGGAGAGUGGAACUCCAUGUGUAGCGGUGAAAU